RNAcentral lists this transfer RNA (75 nucleotides) under Acinetobacter sp. CAG:196. RNAcentral's name for it is "transfer RNA-Met(CAT)". It matches the Rfam family "tRNA". From Rfam's summary of the family: Transfer RNA (tRNA) molecules are approximately 80 nucleotides in length. Their secondary structure includes four short double-helical elements and three loops (D, anti-codon, and T loops). The record is from RNAcentral. RNAcentral also lists the same sequence under 3 other names. Lineage: Bacteria; Pseudomonadati; Pseudomonadota; Gammaproteobacteria; Moraxellales; Moraxellaceae.
GGCUGGGUAGCUCAGUUGGUUAGAGCGUUCGGCUCAUACCCGAAAGGUUCGAGAGUUCGAAUCUCUCCCCAGCUA